This 83-nucleotide microRNA precursor is filed under the name Rhinopithecus bieti (black snub-nosed monkey). RNAcentral describes it as "miRNA (ENSRBIG00000023417.1)". The record is from RNAcentral. Lineage: Eukaryota; Metazoa; Chordata; Mammalia; Primates; Cercopithecidae.
UUAGGUUAAUGCAAAAGUAAUUGUGGUUUUUGCCAUUGAAAGUAAUAGGAAAAACCGCAGUUACUUUUGCACCAACCUAAUAA